This 63-nucleotide non-coding RNA is filed under the name Jannaschia helgolandensis. Its description in RNAcentral is "L2-Alphaproteobacteria ribosomal protein leader". It matches the Rfam family "L2-Alphaproteobacteria ribosomal protein leader". The record is from RNAcentral. Lineage: Bacteria; Pseudomonadati; Pseudomonadota; Alphaproteobacteria; Rhodobacterales; Roseobacteraceae.
GGGGACCUUCGGGGCCCUAUACCUUCGGUGGGGAAACCCACCGUUAUGCAAAACGGAAGACAG